RNAcentral lists this ribosomal RNA (353 nucleotides) under uncultured bacterium. Its description in RNAcentral is "bacterial SSU rRNA". It matches the Rfam family "Bacterial small subunit ribosomal RNA", at positions 28 to 381 of the family's 1533-position model. The record is from RNAcentral.
GACGAACGCUGGCGGCGUGCUUAACACAUGCAAGUCGAGCGGUAAGGCCCUUUCGGGGGUACACGAGCGGCGAACGGGUGAGUAACACGUGGGUGACCUGCCCUCAGCUCUGGGAUAAGCCUGGGAAACCGGGUCUAAUACUGGAUAUGACUCCAUGACGCAUGUUGUGGGGUGGAAAGCCUUGUGCGGCUGAGGAUGGGCCCGCGGCCUAUCUAGCUUGUUGGUGGGGUGANGGCCUACCAAGGCGACGACGGGUAGCCGGCCUGAGAGGGCGACCGGCCACACUGGGACUGAGACACGGCCCAGACUCCUACGGGAGGCAGCAGUGGGGAAUCUUGCGCAAUGGGCGAAAG